This 253-nucleotide ribosomal RNA is filed under the name uncultured bacterium. RNAcentral describes it as "partial 16S ribosomal RNA". It matches the Rfam family "Bacterial small subunit ribosomal RNA", at positions 524 to 776 of the family's 1533-position model. The record is from RNAcentral.
UACGUAUGGGGCAAGCGUUAUCCGGAAUUACUGGGUGUAAAGGGAGCGUAGGCGGUACGGCAAGUCAGAAGUGAAAGCCUGGGGCUCAACCCCGGAAUUGCUUUUGAAACUGUCGGACUAGAGUGUCGGAGGGGUAAGCGGAAUUCCUAGUGUAGCGGUGAAAUGCGUAGAUAUUAGGAAGAACACCAGCGGCGAAGGCGAUUCACUGGACUGUAACUGACACUGAGGCACGAAAGCGUGGGGAGCAAACAGG